ACGAGUGGGAUGUCACUGCCACGAGGUAUUGCACAAGACAGGUCUCCACUUGUGAAAGUCCGAAGUAAUUCUCUGAAAGCGCUGCCUCCACCUGUCCCAAAGCCAUCCUUCAGCCAGCACUCCCUGGCCUCCACGAAAGACCAAAGGCCUGUCAACCAUCUGCACCAACACGGCCUGCUGAGUCAGCAGACACGGGGCCGACCCGAAAGCACCUUCCCUCACCUCGAGCUGCAGACCGACGUCUCCCCGAGCUUACCAGGAACCUCUGCCAAGACCAGUCCUCAGCUCAGUGAGAACCUGGGGACGUCAGACUUAGACUUACAUGCCAGUCCACGGAAUGGAGAUGU
Molecule: long non-coding RNA, 347 nt
Filed under: Rattus norvegicus (Norway rat)
Lineage: Eukaryota; Metazoa; Chordata; Mammalia; Rodentia; Muridae
Description: long non-coding RNA NONRATT013176
Source: RNAcentral